Molecule: ribosomal RNA, 265 nt
Filed under: uncultured bacterium
Lineage: Bacteria
Description: partial 16S ribosomal RNA
Rfam family: Bacterial small subunit ribosomal RNA
Source: RNAcentral
GUCCCGGCGGUAAACGAUGGGCACUAGGUGUCGGAGGUAUCGACCCCUCCGGUGCCGCAGUUAACACAUUAAGUGCCCCGCCUGGGGAGUACGGCCGCAAGGUUGAAACUCAAAGGAAUUGACGGGGGCCCGCACAAGCGGUGGAGUAUGUGGUUUAAUUCGACGCAACGCGAAGAACCUUACCUGGGCUUGACAUGUAACGGACAAGGUUAGAGAUAACCUCUCGUCUUCGGACGUCGUUGCACAGGUGCUGCAUGGCUGUCGU